This 462-nucleotide ribosomal RNA is filed under the name uncultured beta proteobacterium. RNAcentral describes it as "bacterial SSU rRNA". It matches the Rfam family "Bacterial small subunit ribosomal RNA", at positions 187 to 645 of the family's 1533-position model. The record is from RNAcentral. Lineage: Bacteria; Pseudomonadati; Pseudomonadota; Betaproteobacteria.
GGAAGCAGGGGAUCGUAAGACCUUGUGCUUUUGGAGUGGCCGAUGCCUGAUUAGCUAGUUGGUAGGGUAAAGGCCUACCAAGGCGACGAUCAGUAGUUGGUCUGAGAGGACGACCAGCCACACUGGGACUGAGACACGGCCCAGACUCCUACGGGAGGCAGCAGUGGGGAAUUUUGGACAAUGGGCGAAAGCCUGAUCCAGCAAUGCCGCGUGAGUGAAGAAGGCCUUCGGGUUGUAAAGCUCUUUCAGUCGAGAAGAAAAGGUUGCGACGAAUAAUCGUAACUCAUGACGGUAUCGACAGAAGAAGCACCGGCUAACUACGUGCCAGCAGCCGCGGUAAUACGUAGGGUGCGAGCGUUAAUCGGAAUUACUGGGCGUAAAGGGUGCGCAGGCGGCUUUGUAAGUCAGAUGUGAAAUCCCCGGGCUUAACCUGGGAAUUGCGUUUGAAACUACAAAGCUAGA